AUGAACGCUAGCGGCAGGCUUAAUACAUGCAAGUUGAGGGGCAGCAUGAUAUACGCGAGUAUAUUGAUGGCGACCGGCGGACGGGUGAGUAAUAGGUAGGAGACCUACCUCAUACAGGGGGAUAGCAUAGAGAAAUCUGUGGUAAUACCCCAUGAGGUUAUAUGAAUAGAGGCAUAUAAUCAAAGCAUAAGUGAUUAUGCGGUAUGAGAGGGGCCUACUGACCAUUAGCUAGUUGGUGAGGUAAGGGCUCACCAAGGCGAAGAUGGUUAGGGGUUUGAGAGAGAGACCCCCCCACAUUGGAACUGAGAGACGGUCCAGACUCCUACGGGAGGCAGCAGUAGGGAAUAUUGGGCAAUGGGCGAAAGCCUGACCCAGCCAUGACGCGUGAAGGAAGACGGCCUUAUGGGUUGUAAACUUCUUUACUACGCGAAUAGAGGUUAGUACGAGAUACUAAUAGGAAGGUAGUGUAGUAAAAAGCACCGGCUAACUCCGUG
This 494-nucleotide ribosomal RNA is filed under the name uncultured bacterium. RNAcentral's name for it is "bacterial SSU rRNA". It matches the Rfam family "Bacterial small subunit ribosomal RNA", at positions 30 to 507 of the family's 1533-position model. The record is from RNAcentral.